UAUUACUUGGUUUAGCUACUAUAUCUUGUAUUGUUGGUGAUUAAUACUUGGUUUUGAAAGGUAUUGCAUGACUUUGUCUGUUAUGCUAUUCUUGAAAUGGGAACUAUGAAGUUGGCAUAAUGUGCUUGAAGAUGCAUAAAAUUUGACAAAUUUUUUUGAGAUCAUAUGCAGUUCAAUGUGCCGAAAUAAAGGCUAACUUUCUUCAGAAUCUAGUACUUUAUCAAAAGGUCCGCUGCAUGCAUAUGCAUCUCUUCUCGACCUGUGCUCUCUCAUCUCUGCUCUUCUCAGAUUACGGAGAUGGUGUCUGACUUGCCUAUGUUCGACGGCAGUUGUGAUAAGCAAUUGCUUUAGAUGGAAAUGAAAUAGCUGGCGCAAUCGCAACCCGAUGGUCACGACAUCGAGAGCUUGGUCAAGACAACCAUCUUGUAGAUGAGCCCGCUAGUGGUGAUGAUGAUGGGGAGCACGUGUCAAACACACAACAACAUGAUUGAAAUUUAAGUAUUUUACUAACUUAUGAAUUUUUUGGUUGAUUUAAAAAAUGUAAAAAUAUUUGGUGGAUGUUUAUGAAUGUUGAAGUAGUUUGAUGUUAUUGACCGACUUAAUGUAGACAAGUUUAAUGUUUUGGAUGUUUGUAAAGGUUGAAGUACUUUAAUGUCUUUUGAGAAUGUUUAAUUACGUUUUGAUUCAACUUUGAAGUAGCUUCGAGUUGAUUUUGAUGUAGUGCAGGUUGUAGCAUGUUAUUAUAUGUGUUUGUUGGAUUGUUGGCAGCUAUUUGAGCGGGUUUUGGAAAAAUAUAGAAUUGUUUAUGAUUUUUGGCAGGUGGGCAGCU
Lycium ferocissimum is the source of this 829-nucleotide long non-coding RNA. RefSeq lists it as uncharacterized. Lineage: Eukaryota; Viridiplantae; Streptophyta; Magnoliopsida; Solanales; Solanaceae. The transcript has 4 exons. The record is from RefSeq and is a predicted model, not a curated record.